Molecule: ribosomal RNA, 454 nt
Filed under: uncultured Porphyromonadaceae bacterium
Lineage: Bacteria; Pseudomonadati; Bacteroidota; Bacteroidia; Bacteroidales; Porphyromonadaceae
Description: partial 16S ribosomal RNA
Rfam family: Bacterial small subunit ribosomal RNA
Source: RNAcentral
ACGGAAGGCAGCAGUGAGGAAUAUUGGUCAAUGGGCGGAAGCCUGAACCAGCCAAGUCGCGUGAGGGAAGACGGCCCUACGGGUUGUAAACCUCUUCUGCGCGGGGGUAAAGUCGGGGACGUGUCCCCGAUUGCAAGUACCGCGCGAAAAAGGAUCGGCUAACUCCGUGCCAGCAGCCGCGGUAAUACGGAGGAUCCGAGUGUUAUCCGGAUUUAUUGGGUUUAAAGGGUGCGCAGGCGGUGGAUCAAGUCAGUGGUGAAAUGGUGCGGCUCAACCGUAGCAUUGCCGUUGAAACUGGCGAGCUCGAGUACGGAUGAAGUCGGCGGAAUGUGAUGUGUAGCGGUGAAAUGCUUAGAUAUGUCACAGAACACCGAUUGCGAAGGCAGCUGACUAAUCCGCAACUGACGCUCAGGCACGAAAGCGUGGGGAUCGAACAGGAUUAGAUACCCUGGUA